AACGAACGCUGGCGGCAGGCCUAACACAUGCAAGUCGAGCGCCCUUUCGGGGGAGCGGCGGACGGGUGAGUAACGCGUGAGAAUAUGCCCUUCUCUACGGAAUAGCCUCGGGAAACUGAGAGUAAUACCGUAUACGCCCUGUGGGGGAAAGAUUUAUCGGGGAAGGAUUAGCCCGCGUUGGAUUAGGUAGUUGGUGGGGUAAUGGCCUACCAAGCCGACGAUCCAUAGCUGGUUUGAGAGGAUGAUCAGCCACACUGGGACUGAGACACGGCCCAGACUCCUACGGGAGGCAGCAGUGGGGAAUCUUAGACAAUGGGGGCAACCCUGAUCUAGCCAUGCCGCGUGAGUGAUGAAGGCCUUAGGGUUGUAAAGCUCUUUCAGCUGGGAAGAUAAUGACGGUACCAGCAGAAGAAGCCCCGGCUAACUCCGUG
Molecule: ribosomal RNA, 431 nt
Filed under: uncultured bacterium
Lineage: Bacteria
Description: partial 16S ribosomal RNA
Rfam family: Bacterial small subunit ribosomal RNA
Source: RNAcentral